Long non-coding RNA from Ornithorhynchus anatinus (platypus), 340 nucleotides. RefSeq lists it as uncharacterized. The record is from RefSeq and is a predicted model, not a curated record. The transcript is spliced from 2 exons. Lineage: Eukaryota; Metazoa; Chordata; Mammalia; Monotremata; Ornithorhynchidae.
GCUGCUUCCCAAUCACUUUCGACUGGUUGUCUCUCAUGGAUUCUCUCCUCUCUCCCUGAGUCGUUUACCGAGAAAGCGGAGCAGAAUAGAGGCCAUUAACUUUCAGUUGCCAGAUGAAAAACGCCUGUCACAGAAAUCUAGAGGCCGGCUUUGGCAGAUUAAUUAAAAUGAAAAUCGACAAUUCUAAAUGACAGCCAGGACUCCUCAAAAACACCCUUACUGAGCACCUGAUCUGUUCUACUGAUGUCAAGAACGCUUCUUGGGCCUCUGGUUUAACAGCAGGAGUCUACCGGGAGUCUAAUUAUAAUUCCUUUGGUAAUUAAAACAACAGAUGUUAUAA